GCAUGGGUUGGCAUCGCGUGAAAUCGUUCCCGCCCACGAAUGGCGUCGUGAAAUAAUUCCCAGGAGGUGGGGAGCCAAUUACUAGGAAGAUCAAAGGCUUGCCCGCCCCAUCUCUUGGCUCAGGAGUUGCUCCACGGCCUGUGGUCACUGUCUCUUGGAGGAAGUCAUGCCCCGCACGCCAUCUAUUCUCUUGAUCGCGAGCACCAUCGCCUGUGCGUCACCGGAGCCGGGCGCUGAGUUGCUCAACAUGCACACAGCACAU
This 262-nucleotide unclassified non-coding RNA is filed under the name uncultured fungus. Its description in RNAcentral is "sequence contains ITS1". The record is from RNAcentral. Lineage: Eukaryota; Fungi.